AGAUCGAAUUGUAAACUUUAGAGUCGUUUGUCCAGACCAGCCGAGUAAAUAAGUUCCUUGGAAUAGGACAUCAUGGAGGGUGAGAAUCCCGUCUUUGGCUUGAGCAUUGGUCUUUUGUGAUGCGACUUCAACGAGUCAGGUUGUUUGGGAAUGCAGCCUUAAUUGGGUGGUAAAUCUCACCUAAAGCUAAAUAUUGGCGAGAGACCGAUAGCGAACAAGUACCGUGAGGGAAAGAUGAAAAGAACUUUGAAAAGAGAGUUAAACAGUAUGUGAAAUUGCUAAAAGGGAACCGUUUGAAGUCAGUCUGGCUGGUCUGCAAUCAGCUUCAACUUUGGUUGGAGUGCACUUGUAGGCCAUUUUGCCUGCCAACAACAGUUUGUUCUGCAGCAAAAAGGUGUUGAGAAUGUAGCUUUCUCUUCGGAGGAAGUGUUAUAGCUCUUCGCGAAAUACUGUGGUUCAGACUGAGGCUUGCAGUGAAUGCUAUUUUGGCUUUGGGGAUGGAUUGCUCAGUGCUUUGCUUGG
This 522-nucleotide ribosomal RNA is filed under the name Apophysomyces variabilis. RNAcentral describes it as "eukaryotic LSU rRNA". It matches the Rfam family "Eukaryotic large subunit ribosomal RNA", at positions 135 to 623 of the family's 3401-position model. Lineage: Eukaryota; Fungi; Mucoromycota; Mucoromycetes; Mucorales; Mucoraceae. The record is from RNAcentral.